This 682-nucleotide ribosomal RNA is filed under the name Klebsiella oxytoca. RNAcentral describes it as "bacterial SSU rRNA". It matches the Rfam family "Bacterial small subunit ribosomal RNA", at positions 82 to 760 of the family's 1533-position model. The record is from RNAcentral. Lineage: Bacteria; Pseudomonadati; Pseudomonadota; Gammaproteobacteria; Enterobacterales; Enterobacteriaceae.
UCUCGGGUGACGAGUGGCGGACGGGUGAGUAAUGUCUGGGAAACUGCCUGAUGGAGGGGGAUAACUACUGGAAACGGUAGCUAAUACCGCAUAACGUCGCAAGACCAAAGAGGGGGACCUUCGGGCCUCUUGCCAUCAGAUGUGCCCAGAUGGGAUUAGCUAGUAGGUGGGGUAACGGCUCACCUAGGCGACGAUCCCUAGCUGGUCUGAGAGGAUGACCAGCCACACUGGAACUGAGACACGGUCCAGACUCCUACGGGAGGCAGCAGUGGGGAAUAUUGCACAAUGGGCGCAAGCCUGAUGCAGCCAUGCCGCGUGUAUGAAGAAGGCCUUCGGGUUGUAAAGUACUUUCAGCGGGGAGGAAGGCGAUAAGGUUAAUAACCUUGUCGAUUGACGUUACCCGCAGAAGAAGCACCGGCUAACUCCGUGCCAGCAGCCGCGGUAAUACGGAGGGUGCAAGCGUUAAUCGGAAUUACUGGGCGUAAAGCGCACGCAGGCGGUCUGUCAAGUCGGAUGUGAAAUCCCCGGGCUCAACCUGGGAACUGCAUUCGAAACUGGCAGGCUGGAGUCUUGUAGAGGGGGGUAGAAUUCCAGGUGUAGCGGUGAAAUGCGUAGAGAUCUGGAGGAAUACCGGUGGCGAAGGCGGCCCCCUGGACAAAGACUGACGCUCAGGUGCGAAAGC